Molecule: ribosomal RNA, 496 nt
Filed under: uncultured bacterium
Lineage: Bacteria
Description: partial 16S ribosomal RNA
Rfam family: Bacterial small subunit ribosomal RNA
Source: RNAcentral
GAUGAACGCUGGCGGCGUGCCUAAUACAUGCAAGUCGAGCGAACAGACGAGGAGCUUGCUCCUCUGACGUUAGCGGCGGACGGGUGAGUAACACGUGGAUAACCUACCUAUAAGACUGGGAUAACUUCGGGAAACCGGAGCUAAUACCGGAUAAUAUAUUGAACCGCAUGGUUCAAUAGUGAAAGACGGUUUUGCUGUCACUUAUAGAUGGAUCCGCGCCGCAUUAGCUAGUUGGUAAGGUAACGGCUUACCAAGGCAACGAUGCGUAGCCGACCUGAGAGGGUGAUCGGCCACACUGGAACUGAGACACGGUCCAGACUCCUACGGGAGGCAGCAGUAGGGAAUCUUCCGCAAUGGGCGAAAGCUUGACGGAGCAACGCCGCGUGAGUGAUGAAGGUCUGCGGAUCGUAAAACUCUGUUAUUAGGGAAGAACAAAUGUGUAAGUAACUAUGCACGUCUGGACGGUACCUAAUCAGAAAGCCACGGCUAACUACGG